Hydractinia symbiolongicarpus is the source of this 539-nucleotide long non-coding RNA. RefSeq lists it as uncharacterized. The transcript has 4 exons. The record is from RefSeq and is a predicted model, not a curated record. Lineage: Eukaryota; Metazoa; Cnidaria; Hydrozoa; Anthoathecata; Hydractiniidae.
CGUAAUAGCUGUAUUAAUCAUUAAAUAGCAGGGCGCUUCAUAUGGACGUCUGUGUUUCGCGUUCCAUUGAAUUACUAACUUCUGCUGCUGCAUAAAGGCAUGAUAUUCACAGAGAGAUAUCCAGGGAAUGUUUAAUGUUACUGAAAAGAAUAAAUGCGCAUAAGUACACAAAAAAAUGGCGAAACUUCGAACAUUGGUGUUGUCUUUGGUGAUAUCAGCUAUCUUUCUUGAAUGCGUUUUUACACUCUCGUUCAUGGGUCAAACACAUAGAGUGGAUACAAAAUGGGGAAAGAGAGAUGGAACUAAUGAAUUGAGUCUUCGUGAUCUUCUCAGUUUAGCAGAACGAAAACGGGACAUGUUAAAAAGAAUAUUUAAACUAAAAAGAAAUGGCUGGAAAUAAUGCAGCUGAGCAAAACGAAGAAAAAGAACAUGUAAAUAUAUAAAUUUAUCUGGAUUAAUUAUUGUACAAAAAGAAUAAUAAAAACCAAAUUUUAAUAUGUUGUUUAUUGCUAUGCAGUCGGAAAAAUCAUCAGUUAAAA